Pelobates cultripes (western spadefoot toad) is the source of this 300-nucleotide non-coding RNA. The record is from the annotation of a GenBank genome assembly. NCBI's taxonomy places the organism in Eukaryota, Metazoa, Chordata, Amphibia, Anura, Pelobatidae.
CUAUCUUUAACUUAAUCUCUCAGAAACCAAACCUAUUAUCCAUCCUUAAAUGCUCAUCCUCCAUGAUUGGUAUCCCACCAGUUUAACCAUGCAACCAUUAAUCCUACCUUGCAGUUUUGCUGUCUAUCUUUCCCUCUCUUUUUUCAGGCCUCUCCCUCCACAAAGUUAGUCGAUUUCCUAAUCCUGUCACUUCCAUUUAAAAUAUGACUCACAUCCACCACUUACUGACACCUAGUAAAACUAUAAUACUUAUACAUGCUCUAGGUAUGUAUCCCAUUAACAAAACUCACUGCUCGUUGG